RNAcentral lists this transfer RNA (54 nucleotides) under Caenorhabditis brenneri. It matches the Rfam family "tRNA". From Rfam's summary of the family: Transfer RNA (tRNA) molecules are approximately 80 nucleotides in length. Lineage: Eukaryota; Metazoa; Nematoda; Chromadorea; Rhabditida; Rhabditidae. The record is from Rfam by way of RNAcentral.
CCUGUGGCGCGUUCGGCUGUUAACCGAAAGGUUGGUGGUUCGAGCCCACCCGGG